Molecule: ribosomal RNA, 1699 nt
Filed under: Staphylococcus aureus
Lineage: Bacteria; Bacillati; Bacillota; Bacilli; Caryophanales; Staphylococcaceae
Description: bacterial LSU rRNA
Rfam family: Bacterial large subunit ribosomal RNA
Source: RNAcentral
AGAUUAAGUUAUUAAGGGCGCACGGUGGAUGCCUUGGCACUAGAAGCCGAUGAAGGACGUUACUAACGACGAUAUGCUUUGGGGAGCUGUAAGUAAGCUUUGAUCCAGAGAUUUCCGAAUGGGGAAACCCAGCAUGAGUUAUGUCAUGUUAUCGAUAUGUGAAUACAUAGCAUAUCAGGAGGCACACCCGGAGAACUGAAACAUCUUAGUACCCGGAGGAAGAGAAAGAAAAUUCGAUUCCCUUAGUAGCGGCGAGCGAAACGGGAAGAGCCCAAACCAACAAGCUUGCUUGUUGGGGUUGUAGGACACUCUAUACGGAGUUACAAAGGACGACAUUAGACGAAUCAUCUGGAAAGAUGAAUCAAAGAAGGUAAUAAUCCUGUAGUCGAAAAUGUUGUCUCUCUUGAGUGGAUCCUGAGUACGACGGAGCACGUGAAAUUCCGUCGGAAUCUGGGAGGACCAUCUCCUAAGGCUAAAUACUCUCUAGUGACCGAUAGUGAACCAGUACCGUGAGGGAAAGGUGAAAAGCACCCCGGAAGGGGAGUGAAAUAGAACCUGAAACCGUGUGCUUACAAGUAGUCAGAGCCCGUUAAUGGGUGAUGGCGUGCCUUUUGUAGAAUGAACCGGCGAGUUACGAUUUGAUGCAAGGUUAAGCAGUAAAUGUGGAGCCGUAGCGAAAGCGAGUCUGAAUAGGGCGUUUAGUAUUUGGUCGUAGACCCGAAACCAGGUGAUCUACCCUUGGUCAGGUUGAAGUUCAGGUAACACUGAAUGGAGGACCGAACCGACUUACGUUGAAAAGUGAGCGGAUGAACUGAGGGUAGCGGAGAAAUUCCAAUCGAACCUGGAGAUAGCUGGUUCUCUCCGAAAUAGCUUUAGGGCUAGCCUCAAGUGAUGAUUAUUGGAGGUAGAGCACUGUUUGGACGAGGGGCCCCUCUCGGGUUACCGAAUUCAGACAAACUCCGAAUGCCAAUUAAUUUAACUUGGGAGUCAGAACAUGGGUGAUAAGGUCCGUGUUCGAAAGGGAAACAGCCCAGACCACCAGCUAAGGUCCCAAAAUAUAUGUUAAGUGGAAAAGGAUGUGGCGUUGCCCAGACAACUAGGAUGUUGGCUUAGAAGCAGCCAUCAUUUAAAGAGUGCGUAAUAGCUCACUAGUCGAGUGACACUGCGCCGAAAAUGUACCGGGGCUAAACAUAUUACCGAAGCUGUGGAUUGUCCUUUGGACAAUGGUAGGAGAGCGUUCUAAGGGCGUUGAAGCAUGAUCGUAAGGACAUGUGGAGCGCUUAGAAGUGAGAAUGCCGGUGUGAGUAGCGAAAGACGGGUGAGAAUCCCGUCCACCGAUUGACUAAGGUUUCCAGAGGAAGGCUCGUCCGCUCUGGGUUAGUCGGGUCCUAAGCUGAGGCCGACAGGCGUAGGCGAUGGAUAACAGGUUGAUAUUCCUGUACCACCUAUAAUCGUUUUAAUCGAUGGGGGGACGCAGUAGGAUAGGCGAAGCGUGCGAUUGGAUUGCACGUCUAAGCAGUAAGGCUGAGUAUUAGGCAAAUCCGGUACUCGUUAAGGCUGAGCUGUGAUGGGGAGAAGACAUUGUGUCUUCGAGUCGUUGAUUUCACACUGCCGAGAAAAGCCUCUAGAUAGAAAAUAGGUGCCCGUACCGCAAACCGACACAGGUAGUCAAGAUGAGAAUUCUAAGGUGAGCGAGCGA